Molecule: ribosomal RNA, 501 nt
Filed under: Arthrobacter sp.
Lineage: Bacteria; Bacillati; Actinomycetota; Actinomycetes; Micrococcales; Micrococcaceae
Description: bacterial SSU rRNA
Rfam family: Bacterial small subunit ribosomal RNA
Source: RNAcentral
GGGACUGAGACACGGGCCAGACUCCUACGGGAGGCAGGAGUGGGGAAUAUUGCACAAUGGGCGCAAGCCUGAUGCAGCGACGCCGCGUGAGGGAUGACGGCCUUCGGGUUGUAAACCUCUUUCAGUAGGGAAGAAGCGAAAGUGACGGUACCUGCAGAAGAAGCGCCGGCUAACUACGUGCCAGCAGCCGCGGUAAUACGUAGGGCGCAAGCGUUAUCCGGAAUUAUUGGGCGUAAAGAGCUCGUAGGCGGUUUGUCGCGUCUGCUGUGAAAGACCGGGGCUCAACUCCGGUUCUGCAGUGGGUACGGGCAGACUAGAGUGCAGUAGGGGAGACUGGAAUUCCUGGUGUAGCGGUGAAAUGCGCAGAUAUCAGGAGGAACACCGAUGGCGAAGGCAGGUCUCUGGGCUGUAACUGACGCUGAGGAGCGAAAGCAUGGGGAGCGAACAGGAUUAGAUACCCUGGCAGACCAUGCCGUAAACGUUGGGCACUAGGUGUGGGGG